AGUGAACGCUGGCGGUAGGCCUAACACAUGCAAGUCGAACGGCAGCACAGUAAGAGCUUGCUCUUACGGGUGUCGAGUGGCGGAUGGGUGCGGAAUACAUCGGAAUCUAUUUUUUCGUGGGGGAUAACGUAGGGAAACUUACGCUAAUACCGCAUACGACCUACGGGUGAAAGCAGGUGAUCUUCCGUCCUUGCGCGAUUGAAUGAGCCGAUGUCGGAUUAGCUAGUUGGCGGGGUAAAGGCCUACCAAGGCGACGAGCCGUAGCUGGUCUGAGAGGAUGUUAGGCCACAUUGGAACGGCAAGCUGAUUAUGACGCCUACGAGAGGAUGCAGUGUGUAAUAUCGGACAAAGGGGGCAAGCCUAAUUCAACCCUACCGCGUGCGUCAAUGCGGCGUUUCGGUUGGCAAACCCUUAUGCGGGGAAAGAAAAUCAACAGGAUACUACCCCGCUGUACUGACGGUACUCAGAGAAUAAGCACCGGCUAACUUCGUG
This 492-nucleotide ribosomal RNA is filed under the name uncultured bacterium. Its description in RNAcentral is "partial 16S ribosomal RNA". It matches the Rfam family "Bacterial small subunit ribosomal RNA", at positions 29 to 507 of the family's 1533-position model. The record is from RNAcentral.